AGUGAACGCUGGCGGUAGGCCUAACACAUGCAAGUCGAACGGCAGCACAGUAAGAGCUUGCUCUUACGGGUGGCGAGUGGCGGACGGGUGAGGAAUACAUCGGAAUCUACUUUUUCGUGGGGGAUAACGUAGGGAAACUUACGCUAAUACCGCAUACGACCUACGGGUGAAAGCAGGGGAUCUUCGGACCUUGCGCGAUUGAAUGAGCCGAUGUCGGAUUAGCUAGUUGGCGGGGUAAAGGCCCACCAAGGCGACGAUCCGUAGCUGGUCUGAGAGGAUGAUCAGCCACACUGGAACUGAGACACGGCCCAGACUCCUACGGGAGGCAGCAGUGGGGAAUAUUGGACAAUGGGCGCAAGCCUGAUCCAGCCAUACCGCGUGGGUGAAGAAGGCCUUCGGGUUGUAAAGCCCUUUUGUUGGGAAAGAAAAGCAGCAGGUUAAUACCCCGCUGCUCUGACGGUACCCAAAGAAUAAGCACCGGCUAACUUCGU
This 491-nucleotide ribosomal RNA is filed under the name uncultured bacterium. RNAcentral describes it as "partial 16S ribosomal RNA". It matches the Rfam family "Bacterial small subunit ribosomal RNA", at positions 29 to 506 of the family's 1533-position model. The record is from RNAcentral.